RNAcentral lists this transfer RNA (49 nucleotides) under Hypochilus thorelli. Its description in RNAcentral is "tRNA-Asn". Lineage: Eukaryota; Metazoa; Arthropoda; Arachnida; Araneae; Hypochilidae. The record is from RNAcentral.
CAAAAUAGCUAUUACAGUGUUCUUAAUGUUAAUAAGAAAGGUGAGGGGG